CGGGGUGAGUAAUGUCUGGGAAACUGCCUGAUGGAGGGGGAUAACUGCUGGAAACGGUAGCUAAUACCGCAUAACGUCGCAAGACCAAAGAGGGGGACCUUCGGGCCUCUUGCCAUCGGAUGUGCCCAGAUGGGAUUAGCUAGUAGGUGGGGUAACGGCUCACCUAGGCGGCGAUCCCUAGCUGGUCUGAGAGGAUGGCCAGCCACACUGGAACUGAGACACGGUCCAG
RNAcentral lists this ribosomal RNA (229 nucleotides) under uncultured bacterium. Its description in RNAcentral is "partial 16S ribosomal RNA". It matches the Rfam family "Bacterial small subunit ribosomal RNA", at positions 104 to 334 of the family's 1533-position model. The record is from RNAcentral.